GACGAACGCUGGCGGCGUGCUUAACACAUGCAAGUCGAACGGAAAGGCCCUGCUUUUGUGGGGUGCUCGAGUGGCGAACGGGUGAGUAACACGUGAGUAACCUGCCCUUGACUUUGGGAUAACUUCAGGAAACUGGGGCUAAUACCGGAUAGGAGCUCCUGCUGCAUGGUGGGGGUUGGAAAGUUUCGGCGGUCGGGGAUGGACUCGCGGCUUAUCAGCUUGUUGGUGGGGUAGUGGCUUACCAAGGCUGUGACGGGUAGCCGGCCUGAGAGGGUGACCGGCCACAUUGGGACUGAGAUACGGCCCAGACUCCUACGGGCGGCAGCAGUGGGGAAUAUUGCACACUGGGCGGAAGCCUGACGCAGCAACGCCGCGUGCGGGAUGACGGCCUUCGGGUUGUAAACCGCUUUCGCCUGUGACGAAGCGUAAGUGACGGUAAUGGAUAAAGAAGCACCGGCUAACUACGUG
This 468-nucleotide ribosomal RNA is filed under the name uncultured bacterium. Its description in RNAcentral is "partial 16S ribosomal RNA". It matches the Rfam family "Bacterial small subunit ribosomal RNA", at positions 28 to 507 of the family's 1533-position model. The record is from RNAcentral.